Parus major (Great Tit) is the source of this 4030-nucleotide long non-coding RNA. RefSeq lists it as uncharacterized. Lineage: Eukaryota; Metazoa; Chordata; Aves; Passeriformes; Paridae. The transcript has 3 exons. The record is from RefSeq and is a predicted model, not a curated record.
UUCAGGCAGGUUAACAGCUGGGUGUGCAGGGUAAUUAACAUUUACAGGUGUGUUUGCUGUGUGUGUAUGGAGCAUUCACCUGUCAGCUCUGAGCCCUGGCUCCUUAGCUCUGUCCCCGUGGUCCUCCUGAUCCCGUGAGGCAACAGCUCAUUUAACAAAGGCUGGACAUCCCCCAAAGUACUCAGAUGCACUAAACAGCUUUAAAAAAAAGCUUAUUUUGUGAUGUAAAGAGUUGCAGCUAUAUAAAUAAACAAUUUUCAGAGUCACCCAGAAGCAAAGACAGGCCAGAGGAAAAAGUGAUGAUGUAAUAGCCAAGAUAAAUUUACUGGAGAAAAGUGAUGCUGGGUCUGCAGGGGAAGCAGAUGUACAAUGGCCAUGUCAAGAGAUGGAACAGGAAUGGCCAGUGUGGGACUUCUGAAAAGUAAUAAAAAAACCCCAGAAUGGUUUGAGCCCAGCUUUAAGGUUCCUGCAUUCUAGUCACUCUUUAGCAGUUCAGCAAACACAACACGGAAAGCACCUUGUCCUCUACCACCAUGUGAGAUUCCUUUCUCAGAUGGAAUCUGUCUCCAGGGCCACAGUUCAAACCACAUUUCUGAUGAAGGGUCUUCAACCUUAAGAAUUGUUACAAAGUUAAAUUCAUUCCCAUCAUAAUUACCAUGCCUGUGUUAACAGAUGGGCAGCUGAGGUUGUGGGAGUAUUAUUUGUUCAAGGUCACACAGAAAAUCUAAGGCAGAGCCCUGGUAGGAACACAAGUCUCCAGAGCCCAGACCUAAUGCUUGAAGCCCAAAGCUUCCCUCACACAGCCCAGCUGGCAGCUCACUGGUGGAGUGCAGCAGCAGGAAAGGCAAAGAGAAGGCAGCUCCUCUCCACCCAGAGGAACAGGUCAGGGCUGAGGACAGCCUGAGGUUCAGCACCAAAGCUGAGGAAGAAGGGAUGUCCCUCUGCCACUGAGUUUUGGGUUUUCCUCUGAAAUACACCCCAGCUAUGGACAAGAGGCAGCUGAAACAACUCCCACAGCAGCAUCUCCUCACAGCCCUGUGGCACCUCCCAGGAACUGGAACCCUCAUCUGUGGAGAACAAAUCAGAAUUGUCCCCCCCCAUGAACCUUCUCACUUUCAGAUUAGAGUCAGAAAUGCCACACACCACACUUGCUAUUUCUAAACAUCAUCUGUGACUAUUUGCAAUGUAAAUAAUCUUCAGUAGGAAAAAUUGCUUAUCCUGCACAAUAAUCCUUUGCUUCCCCUGGAGAAACUGGGUCUGGAUAUGGCCCUGACACUGCACAUGCAGAAAAUAAAUAAAAUUUUGUGCAGUAUCUUCAUUUGGGGGUGGAGAGAGAGGGGGCAUAAUUAAAUUAAUACAACAAAAAUCCAAAAUCCUUUUGAACUCAGUAUUUUUCCUUGCUGUGAAGUCCCCAGAAUGUUUCCCAUUAUUUUCUGUUGUUACCCACAGUGCAAAUGAGAAGCUGAAAUAUCAAAUUGCCCUACUGUGUUGGACCAGAGCUACCCAAAUCCUGAUAUUCAAUAUUCCCAAAGUCUAUACAUACAUGUUCCAGUCGUAUUUUGACAAUCUCACCAGGAAACAGAGGCAAUCAACCACCACCUACUGUCAGAGGAGAAUUCAUAUUUUACAUUAAUAACCAUACAAUUCAGAAGAUUACUAUCUAUAACAACAAAACUUCUGGCUUGUUGCAUAUAAAAGAUUCACAGAAGAUAACAGUUCUCCCAUAACUCCAACAAAUUCCAUUUGCUUUGCUAACUACUGCCCUCAUCUAUCCUUUGGAAUAUUAAUUUUCUUGUAUGAAAUGUCCAAUUAUGUCUAAUUAUCCUUCAGGAUAAUCUCUGCUACUCUUUUGGAUCACUCAGGGUGUUGCUAAGUGGAGUGAUCUUUCCUGAGAAACUUCUGAACUAUUUACAUGCACAAAAAGAAAUUCCCAAUGGAAUUCAUCCGGUCUCUAUUAAUCAAAGAAUCCAUUUCUGUAAACAUUUGCACAUACUUUUUUUCAGUGUCAUUAUGGGAUUCUAUGAGUGAACAAACUGGUUUGGAUUAGAAAAUCACCACCAUCAUCAUCCUGCUCCUGAAAUGGCUCUGGAAAAAUCAGUCUGUGCUAUUACCUAGUAAGGAAUCCUUAGGUAAAUAUCACUCCAAGGCUUUAUUGUGGGGUGGGCUACAGAAUCCUGGAAUGGCUUGGGUUGUUAAAGGCCUCCAAAAAUCCUCUUGUCCCAAGCCCUGCCCUGGGCAGGGGCAGCUCCCACCAGCCCAGGUUGUUCAGUGCAGCCCCCUGAGCACAGCCUGUGAACAGAUAUUUAUGCCCGUGGCUGAUUGAUCAUUUCAAAGGAAAUACCUAAAAAUUAAAACAAAUCAAAUCAAUCCAAACUUAAGUCACGGGUGCAGCAGAGAAAGCAGAACUGACAGACUGGAAACCUUACUAGUACUUAUGCAUGAUUCAUUUGUCUUUGGCAUGCCAAAACACUUGGGAGUAAAUUGUUGUUUUAAAUACUUGUAUAUUCUGAAAUUCAAAGUAACUUGUCAAUGAAACAUGAAGUUUGUCAGUACUCUCAUUACCUUUGUGCUCAAAAAAUUCAUAAAUAAAUAAAUACACCUCCUUGAUGUUAAAUGUUUAUCAGUCUUGCUUUUUUUUUGACAAUGAUUUGAUAGUACAUUAGUCAUGAAAGGUGGAAAAUAAUCAGAAUCUAAGCAAAAAUGCUUAAUUCAUGAGAUGAACACACAAAGGAGUUGCAGUAAUUAAUAGAAAUUCAAUGUCUUAUCAGAUUAUUGCUGCGAGUCCCUGUCUUUCUCAGCUGGAUCCAGGAAAUAUUUAAAAGACAUAACACACAAAAUAAUUCAUGAGCUUGUACUUUUUCUGAAGGCAUGAGGAUGUGGCUGCACUUUCAAACUUGUGUCAUAUUUUGGUGCAAUUAAUCUGCUUUCCAAAAGUUGCUGCUUUUCAGACCAAUGCCCUAUUGUUGACUUAUACAGAUAUUCCUGGGCUGCACUGGGACAAAGGAAUUAUGCACAUACUUUGUUUAGCUUGGGUGUGGACACAUUUCUAUUCCAUUUAUAAAACCCCAAAAUGCAUUCAGCUUCUGCCUCACUUUUAUCAGAGGGCCUUUUGCUUGUGGGCAAACCCUGGUUGAUGUAUUUGACAAAACUGAGUAGGAGUUCAGCUGUUGGUGUGACAGAAUAAAGCACUGAAAAGUUUUCACUGUGGUCUUAGCACUGAACUUGCUGCUAUGAAAUCAGUUUACAGGCCACAAUUUUGACCAUGUGAGGAACUCUAAAUGAGAUAUGGCAUUUAUUACUGAAGCAGGAUGCAAAGUGUGAUUUCCUUUCCCAAAUAUUAUCUUAAAACAUAAGAUAGUAUGUUAUGCCAGGAAAUGUAUAAUAUGUUAUACAAGCAUAGAUGUAUAGUAAACUUUAAAAUAACCUCUCAAACUGAACCAGCCAGGCUGAGGAAACACUGGGAAAAUCUUACUGCAUCUGCUCAUGUGAAUGUUUUUUGGUAUGGGAGAGCUCAAGCCAAUUAAACAUGCUGAUUUUGACCAUGAGGAUGGAAUUACUGACACUAAAGCUAAAUCUUAAUGCACUUAAUACUUUAAAACCAGUGCUGUCACAUAAUGGCAUGCAGAUAUACAAGUGACACAUACAUGUGCCAUGUCUGGGGAGUUUCCCUGUUCACAUUUGCUCCUUCCAUUUAUAAAACCCCCAAUUUCCUCCCCAUGAACCUUGGUUUAUCUUGAAAGCACCAUCCAAACAGUAAUGCCCAAUAUACCUGUACUGUAGCUGUGAAAUACCAGGAGGUUAUAAACCAGAAACACUGUGAGAGUUUUCUUUCAAAGAUUGUACUGACCAUGUUUGAUUCUUCAUGGAAAUAAACACUGGAAAAUGCAUGUCUUCAUUAAAAUAUUAAAUUAGCUUAAAUUAAAAUUAGCUCAUAAUUCUGUAUUCAUCCCUUUACACACAGCAGUUCUCUCCAUAUUGACAGAACAGCAGAUUUUAGAUUAUUUUCUGCAAAGAAGAGUGAGUGUGGCAA